Long non-coding RNA from Ictalurus punctatus (channel catfish), 580 nucleotides. Lineage: Eukaryota; Metazoa; Chordata; Actinopteri; Siluriformes; Ictaluridae. The record is from Ensembl.
UUUUCACCAUAAUUUCACCAUUGCAUCGUAUUUUCACUCUGCCUAGAGUCAGCCCUUUAUAAUACAUCCUACUCUCUGUGCUCACAUGCUGAAUUUUAAUACAGCCGAAUUCCCAAUAAAGCUGUUCUCAUUUACAUAUUUUUUCUGUUUCUGAAAGCAGGACCUCGCACUCACCAGGCAGUACUGGCCAUUCUCUUCUACGGAAAGUAGCUAAGUCCAACGGAUCUGACGCACUGAAGGCUGGACAUUGGCAGAUAUCAUCUAUGAUGAAAAAGCCUCCCUUGCGAGACGAGAAUCUUCACCAUCUGAAUCAUGAGUGCCGGUGCCCGUCGUCAGUCCCUUCUCUCUCCGUUACUGGACCUGGAUCUGGAUCUCGAUCUGGACACUCAUUACCAGCUUGUGCAUCUCACUGCUGAUAUCAUGAUGCUACUUAACUAUCUUCGCAGCACCCGCUCUAGGAAUGGAGAUCCGGGGUUCCCCCCUCUUCUUCGAUACAGAAUCUGCCUACAGCAUCUACAGCAAUCUACAGCAAAUGACUGGUGGGUGCGUAAUCUUGAGGAGAGUGGUGGGGGGAAGAAAA